RNAcentral lists this long non-coding RNA (1357 nucleotides) under Solanum tuberosum (potato). Its description in RNAcentral is "long non-coding RNA (STUB_LNC010088)". The record is from RNAcentral. Lineage: Eukaryota; Viridiplantae; Streptophyta; Magnoliopsida; Solanales; Solanaceae.
AAUGAAAUCCACCCAUGAUCAUACAAUUGAAAACCACUAAAAUAUAUGAAGGUAAUAUGUCAUUACAAGCUCCUUAAAUUAAAAUAAAAUAUGUCCAAUAACAAGCAAAUCUAACUGAAAUAGAAGAAAUAUUACUCCUAAACUGAGACUGAAAAGUAGAAGUUUCUUCCAAAGUACCAAUAAUGUGGUGAUACUUAGUUUGCAUUAGUCUUGAUUCAAUUCUCACCUUUUAUACCUGUGUAAAAAAGAGAAAACAAAUUUAUAAGAUUUAAUAUAAAGUAGAAUUUGCAACAUUACAUUAUGUUUUUCAUACAUUGUAAUGCCAAGUUUCUGCAAAGAUAAAUCAAUCAUACAUAAUAUGAAGCUACACAUAUAUACGAACUAUAUCCCCACUGCUAUUUGUGGUGUGCAUGAAGUACAUCACAAGGAAACCAUAUCCCCACUGCUAUUUGUGGUGUGCAUGAAGUACAUCACAAGGCGUUGAUGCUAUGGGUGGCUGAAACUGAAAUACUUUGUUUUGCAGAUAAACAUGCUCAUAUUUUGCAAAGGGAAUAUAACAUAUGUGUUAAUGCCAAUAAGAUCAGGAAUAAAAACAUUCUCAGAGGUCACAUGGCUCACUACAAAUGCUACAAAGUUUAAUGUUUAUACUUCCAUCAUGGGGAAACAAGAGGUAAAUGCUAUAUGUUAAUUGUCUGAAUACGUCAGAGGUAACCACCAAUUAAAUACCUGGGCAUUCCCAUCACUUCUAGAACACUAAAUGCUAUAGAUUGCAAUGUGUUAGUAGGAAAAAUGACAGCCAAGGUGAAAAUUUGAGGCUUGAGGAACCUGUGUUUCCCUAGUAGGCUUCAACUGGUCAAUACCAUGCUGCUGCAUAUACAUGUAUACUGGUCUAUUAUUUUCUCACUGCCUAAACAGGUGUUGAAAGAUAAAAAGCUGUUUGCAGGAAAAAUACACUCCAACAAACAAAAUUCAUGGGCUGAACUGAUCACAAUAAGUAACUUUCAAUAAUUUUCUUCAAUCUAUGCCUAAAAUAUCAAGCAAUGCCCUCACAUUAAGUCACCAAUCCUUCAAUACUUGGGGGUUCAAAGAAUAAAAGAAAUUGCAAUCCAUAAAGUCAUCAGAUACCAAGCAAAUAAUCAAAUUUCACCAACCAAAAGGUCUGUUAAGCUUAUUUAUAUCAUAUCCACAGUUUUCCUUCCACAACCUCCAUAAGAAACCAAUUUUCAAACAUUGAAACAAAUUAAAAACCAGAAAUUGAAGAAAAGCAAUUCUUAUCAAUUUAGGAAGACGAAAUCUGAAAGGUAGGUCGAAACAAAUUGAGUAAUAUGCAGCAGAAUUGGCGAUAAGGGUAUUCCCA